This 372-nucleotide ribosomal RNA is filed under the name uncultured organism. RNAcentral's name for it is "partial 16S ribosomal RNA". It matches the Rfam family "Bacterial small subunit ribosomal RNA", at positions 527 to 896 of the family's 1533-position model. The record is from RNAcentral.
GGAGGGCGCUAGCGUUGUUCGGAAUUAUUGGGCGUAAAGCGCGUGUAGGCGGCUUGGCAAGUCGGGUGUGAAAGCCCGGGGCUCAACCCCGGAACUGCACUCGAAACUGCCUCGCUUGAGUCCCGGAGAGGAGGGCGGAAUUCCCGGUGUAGAGGUGAAAUUCGUAGAUAUCGGGAGGAACACCAGUGGCGAAGGCGGCCCUCUGGACGGUGACUGACGCUGAGACGCGAAAGCGUGGGGAGCAAACAGGAUUAGAUACCCUGGUAGUCCACGCCGUAAACGUUGGGUGCUAGGUGUCGCGGGUAUUGACCCCCCUGCGGUGCCGUCGUUAACGCAUUUAGCACCCCGCCUGGGAGUACGGUCGCAAGGCUA